UGUAAGCGUAUACCAAAGUUGUUGCAGUUAAAACGCUCGUAGUCGGAAUUUGGCAGUUCCGGAUGUGUGCACGUCGUGUGCGCACUUCGCGGGGAUUGCUUUUGUGGUCUUGCGUAGGAUGAGGCACUUUUAUUAGUGAACGUCCUCACGCAACCACUUUUUACUGUGAGAAAAUCAGAGUGCUCAAAGCAGGCAUUUGCCGUGAAUGUAUUAGCAUGGAAUAAUAGAAUAGGACUUGGUUCUAUUUUGUUGGUUCGUUGGGACUGAGUAAUGAUUAAGAGGGACAGUUGGGGGCAUUUGUAUUUCGGUGCUAGAGGUGAAAUUCUUAGAUUACCGAAAGACAAACUGCUGCGAAAGCGUCUGCCAAGGAUGUUUUCAUUGA
This 382-nucleotide ribosomal RNA is filed under the name uncultured eukaryote. Its description in RNAcentral is "partial 18S ribosomal RNA". It matches the Rfam family "Eukaryotic small subunit ribosomal RNA", at positions 592 to 976 of the family's 1831-position model. The record is from RNAcentral.